Molecule: ribosomal RNA, 1061 nt
Filed under: Escherichia coli
Lineage: Bacteria; Pseudomonadati; Pseudomonadota; Gammaproteobacteria; Enterobacterales; Enterobacteriaceae
Description: partial 23S ribosomal RNA
Rfam family: Bacterial large subunit ribosomal RNA
Source: RNAcentral
AUAUGAACCGUUAUAACCGGCGAUUUCCGAAUGGGGAAACCCAGUGUGUUUCGACACACUAUCAUUAACUGAAUCCAUAGGUUAAUGAGGCGAACCGGGGGAACUGAAACAUCUAAGUACCCCGAGGAAAAGAAAUCAACCGAGAUUCCCCCAGUAGCGGCGAGCGAACGGGGAGCAGCCCAGAGCCUGAAUCAGUGUGUGUGUUAGUGGAAGCGUCUGGAAAGGCGCGCGAUACAGGGUGACAGCCCCGUACACAAAAAUGCACAUGCUGUGAGCUCGAUGAGUAGGGCGGGACACGUGGUAUCCUGUCUGAAUAUGGGGGGACCAUCCUCCAAGGCUAAAUACUCCUGACUGACCGAUAGUGAACCAGUACCGUGAGGGAAAGGCGAAAAGAACCCCGGCGAGGGGAGUGAAAAAGAACCUGAAACCGUGUACGUACAAGCAGUGGGAGCCUCUUUUAUGGGGUGACUGCGUACCUUUUGUAUAAUGGGUCAGCGACUUAUAUUCUGUAGCAAGGUUAACCGAAUAGGGGAGCCGAAGGGAAACCGAGUCUUAACUGGGCGUUAAGUUGCAGGGUAUAGACCCGAAACCCGGUGAUCUAGCCAUGGGCAGGUUGAAGGUUGGGUAACACUAACUGGAGGACCGAACCGACUAAUGUUGAAAAAUUAGCGGAUGACUUGUGGCUGGGGGUGAAAGGCCAAUCAAACCGGGAGAUAGCUGGUUCUCCCCGAAAGCUAUUUAGGUAGCGCCUCGUGAAUUCAUCUCCGGGGGUAGAGCACUGUUUCGGCAAGGGGGUCAUCCCGACUUACCAACCCGAUGCAAACUGCGAAUACCGGAGAAUGUUAUCACGGGAGACACACGGCGGGUGCUAACGUCCGUCGUGAAGAGGGAAACAACCCAGACCGCCAGCUAAGGUCCCAAAGUCAUGGUUAAGUGGGAAACGAUGUGGGAAGGCCCAGACAGCCAGGAUGUUGGCUUAGAAGCAGCCAUCAUUUAAAGAAAGCGUAAUAGCUCACUGGUCGAGUCGGCCUGCGCGGAAGAUGUAACGGGGCUAAACCAUG